GUGCACAUUUCAUUGUCCCAUUCUUCCCAUGUAAGAACUGAGAUAUUUCUUAUGUGCUAGAUAAACUCUGGAGGUAAAUUAGCAGUUUGGCUUCAUUGUGCCUCACUGCCAGUCCCCUUCAUACAAUA
This is a small nucleolar RNA of Danio rerio (zebrafish), 128 nucleotides long. Lineage: Eukaryota; Metazoa; Chordata; Actinopteri; Cypriniformes; Danionidae. The record is from Ensembl.